GCACCGGCUAACUCCGUGCCAGCAGCCGCGGUAAUACGGAGGGUGCGAGCGUUAAUCGGAAUUACUGGGCGUAAAGCGCAUGCAGGUGGUUUGUUAAGUCAGAUGUGAAAGCCCGGGGCUCAACCUCGGAAUAGCAUUUGAAACUGGCAGACUAGAGUACUGUAGAGGGGGGUAGAAUUUCAGGUGUAGCGGUGAAAUGCGUAGAGAUCUGAAGGAAUACCGGUGGCGAAGGCGGCCCCCUGGACAGAUACUGACACUCAGAUGCGAAAGCGUGGGGAGCAAACAGGAUUAGAUACCCUGGUAGUCCACGCCGUAAACGAUGUCUACUUGGAGGUUGUGGCCUUGAGCCGUGGCUUUCGGAGCUAACGCGUUAAGUAGACCGCCUGGGGAGUACGGUCGCAAGAUUAAAACUCAAAUGAAUUGACGGGGGCCCGCACAAGCGGUGGAGCAUGUGGUUUAAUUCGAUGCAACGCGAAGAACCUUACCUACUCUUGACAUCCAGAGAACUUUCCAGAGAUGGAUUGGUGCCUUCGGGAACUCUGAGACAGGUGCUGCAUGGCUGUCGUCAGCUCGUGUUGUGAAAUGUUGGGUUAAGUCCCGCAACGAGCGCAACCCUUAUCCUUGUUUGCCAGCGAGUAAUGUCGGGAACUCCAGGGAGACUGCCGGUGAUAAACCGGAGGAAGGUGGGGACGACGUCAAGUCAUCAUGGCCCUUACGAGUAGGGCUACACACGUGCUACAAUGGCGCAUACAGAGGGCGGCCAACUUGCGAAAGUGAGCGAAUCCCAAAAAGUGCGUCGUAGUCCGGAUUGGAGUCUGCAACUCGACUCCAUGAAGUCGGAAUCGCUAGUAAUCGUGGAUCAGAAUGCCACGGUGAAUACGUUCCCGGGCCUUGUACACACCGCCCGUCACACCAUGGGAGUGGGCUGCAAAAGAAGUAGGUAGUUUAACCUUCGGGGGGACGCUUACCACUUUGUGGUUCAUGACUGGGGUGAAGUCGUAACAAGGUAGCGCUAGGGGAACCUGGCGCUGGAUCACCUCCUUA
RNAcentral lists this ribosomal RNA (1044 nucleotides) under Vibrio alginolyticus. RNAcentral's name for it is "bacterial SSU rRNA". It matches the Rfam family "Bacterial small subunit ribosomal RNA", at positions 490 to 1533 of the family's 1533-position model. The record is from RNAcentral. Lineage: Bacteria; Pseudomonadati; Pseudomonadota; Gammaproteobacteria; Vibrionales; Vibrionaceae.